GGCGCUGAGAUGAUUCUUAAAAGUCCACACCAGGUUUCUCAUACAUAAUUCUUGCGGAUUUGGUUUCUGAUGUAGGGCUGUCGGUCGUAUUGAAUUCGGUAGACAGAAAUCUGGCAUUCCCCUACCAAUCUCUCUGAAAAUCAAUCGUUAAAUACAGAGGUGUGUGCCUAAUGGACUGAAUCCGAUGGAAUUGGAAUUCUAGAUUCCAUUAACUCACUUCCUUUUUUGUUUGUCAGUUUCGGGAAUAUCCCCAUUCAUAGGUCCGAGAUCUACAUCUAUGAAUUAUUAAGGAACUCCAAAUUUUGAAAAGAUGAAUAAACAGGUUUAUAUAAAAAAAAGAUGGCAUGUUGGACUGAAUUCAGUUCCAUCAUUCCUUCAAAUUUCAUGUUUGACAGAUUUUUUUUAGAGGAGGGUGGAAGGAAUUCAAUUUCGUUUUUCUUUUUUAUAAUAAAAGACCAAAAUACCCUUGUAUAAUAUUAAUAUGUUGUAAUAAUUAAGAGUAAGAAAUCCAAUUAUAUAUUUUUACAAUAAACAAAAAAGAUUUAAAAUUACUUAAUUUUUAUGAUCGAAUUACAUUUCAUUUCCUUCAAACAAAAAACACGAUUGAUUAUGAUUCCUUCAGAUUCCUAUUCCUUUGACUGAUUCCAUUCCUUCCAAAAACAUUCUCGGAACCAAUAUUGUUGUUUUCGAAAACUUAGUUCUAAUUUGUUAGUCCAACUUUUCAGUUUUCUUUUCUUUAACUCUUUUUUUUUACUGGAUUGCUUUAUGAAAUGCAUACAUGGCGAUCUUACUAUUGAAGCAAUCAACACUUAUGCGUACUUUGGUAUCAGUCUUAUGAUGCCAAAAAUAAUUAAAACUUUAAAGUUUAUUACUAAACGAAUCUCUGAUCUUUCUAUGCAAUUGAUUCAUACUCAUGCAGACUUUUCAACUAUGAUCAGACUCCAACAGCAUCAGGUAAAUCAAAUCCACAAAUUAUACCUCAUAAUACUAAAACUAAAUCACAAAUAUUACUAGUGAUUCACACAUCAUAUAAAGCAAAAAGAAAUAAGAUAUAAAGUUAUGAUCACUAACCUUUGAGGAUAAAAAAUCUGGAAUAUCAAUUUCGGUUGCUGCCAUUGAUCAUAUACAGUCAAAGCAAAAUCUCACAGUUUAAUUCUGUGAGAUAAUGACUGAAAUGUUUUGGUAUGUUUUUAUUUUGAGAUAUGCCUACAGCUUUCAAAACUUCAUACUAUAUAUAUCUAAACCAUAUGGUCCCUUUGAUUAAACCUCUUGAGAAAGUGGGUAGUAAAUGACAAAAAUGCCACUUGGACAUUGCUUUUAGUACAUUUUGUAGUAGGCCUGGUAUCCCAUGGUACUGAAUGAUAUAUCAUAAUUUAUAAUAUCACAUGCUCAUCCAGCCUAAUACACAGAUUUUAAUCCAAGCUGUUAUAUGCUUCUUG
Molecule: non-coding RNA, 1439 nt
Organism: Lactuca sativa (garden lettuce)
Lineage: Eukaryota; Viridiplantae; Streptophyta; Magnoliopsida; Asterales; Asteraceae
Source: RefSeq, a predicted model, not a curated record